This 605-nucleotide ribosomal RNA is filed under the name uncultured Shigella sp. RNAcentral describes it as "bacterial SSU rRNA". It matches the Rfam family "Bacterial small subunit ribosomal RNA", at positions 896 to 1501 of the family's 1533-position model. The record is from RNAcentral. Lineage: Bacteria; Pseudomonadati; Pseudomonadota; Gammaproteobacteria; Enterobacterales; Enterobacteriaceae.
AAAACUCAAAUGAAUUGACGGGGGCCCGCACAAGCGGUGGAGCAUGUGGUUUAAUUCGAUGCAACGCGAAGAACCUUACCUGGUCUUGACAUCCACGGAAGUUUUCAGAGAUGAGAAUGUGCCUUCGGGAACCGUGAGACAGGUGCUGCAUGGCUGUCGUCAGCUCGUGUUGUGAAGUGUUGGGUUAAGUCCCGCAACGAGCGCAACCCUUAUCCUUUGUUGCCAGCGGUCCGGCCGGGAACUCAAAGGAGACUGCCAGUGAUAAACUGGAGGAAGGUGGGGAUGACGUCAAGUCAUCAUGGCCCUUACGACCAGGGCUACACACGUGCUACAAUGGCGCAUACAAAGAGAAGCGACCUCGCGAGAGCAAGCGGACCUCAUAAAGUGCGUCGUAGUCCGGAUUGGAGUCUGCAACUCGACUCCAUGAAGUCGGAAUCGCUAGUAAUCGUGGAUCAGAAUGCCACGGUGAAUACGUUCCCGGGCCUUGUACACACCGCCCGUCACACCAUGGGAGUGGGUUGCAAAAGAAGUAGGUAGCUUAACCUUCGGGAGGGCGCUUACCACUUUGUGAUUCAUGACUGGGGUGAAGUCGUAACAAGGUAACC